This is a non-coding RNA of Xyrichtys novacula (pearly razorfish), 23704 nucleotides long. The record is from the annotation of a GenBank genome assembly. NCBI's taxonomy places the organism in Eukaryota, Metazoa, Chordata, Actinopteri, Labriformes, Labridae.
AAAAAAAUAGAUAAAUAAAUAAAUCAAAGUUGGUUUUGGAUGUGUGUAGGUAGGCUAUGGUCUCAUGUCCCUUUAAGACGCUGUCCUACGUCAGAGACGUGACUCCACCCCAUCCAGUCCGUAACAAAGAGGUAAAGACAGGUGAGGAGAUGGAGGACGGUUCAAAAGUUGUAGCGGCUGAAGUAGAAGAAGUUAAUGUGGGAGGGGGUGAGCAGCUUGUGGAGUAGUUAUCGUCCAUUUAUCGUUAUUGUGAUAUAUCGUGAUAUUGAUUUGAGGCCAUAUCGCCCAGCCCUAACAGCAGGAUCAUUCUUCCAGUAAUUAGGUUUGCAUGUAGAUACAGUAGGUGCGAGGUUAGAUGCAGACACAUAUACCCUUUUCCUACAGUAUGAAACUCUUCUCUAUUAUAUAUUCUUUAACUUUUAACAUAUUCUCUAUUUUUUGGAGAGAAACAUCUUUUCGAUUCCUCUAAAUAAGGAAUUCUGAAAGUUUGGGAAACCCUGCUCUUGACUGUGUUAUGAUGGAUAAGUUGAUAUGCACUGAUGAAAACACCAAGAAUAACCUCAUAAAGAUGAUUUUAAUCCAUCCAUUUAAAGCUCCUGUGAGUAACUCUUUAAUUUUGUUCUGCUCUGCUGUGUGUGUCGUAAAUCAGUUUAAAGUGAUUUUUAUUAUAAGACUAUAAGACAACAUUGAUUUUUGUAAAUAUUUACUUUUGUGUAUGACCUCUUAUUUUAGGCUGAAAUUUAUUCGGGAAUGAGACCAUCCAGUUCAGAUAAGUGUUACGCUGUUUGUUGUUAAAAUAUUAUUCCUAUUUUUCAGCCCCCCCCCCCCCCCCCCCCCCCCAAAAAAAAGUGAUAAAAUCAAGAUCGUGAUUUUGCAAAAAGAAAAAACAUGAUAUGAAAUUUUUUCCAUAUCGCCCACCCCUACUUCAAGUUAAAAUCAGCAGCAUGCCACAAAACCGUCUGUAAUUCACCUUAAAGUAAAAAAGAUUUUGGAAAGUAAAUUAAUGAAGAAAUAAAAAGUGGGUUUAUUUUCCUCCAAGCAGCAAAUGCUCGAGUCAGAAGUUUGAAUCAUUGCCUGAGUGCGGAUUGCAGUUCCUUGAUGGUCCACUAGAGGCCGUCUACAAAGCCCAAGGAAUCCCCUCAGGUGGGUUUGUUCUGAUUCACUUCUGUUCACACACACAGGAGUCCUAACUCAUCCAUCUGAAGAUAUUAAAGUUCGAGUUAAACAUGAAUUUGUAGUUCAGUCAUGCUCCAGUCAUCGCCCGGUUCAGAGGUUUAAAACAAACCUCCAGAAACCUGCUCCAGAUGCUCUCUCUUUGUCUUCGCCUGAAUCCUUCUCCAAACUCCAGAACGCUCUGCUGAAUUUCAGGCCUACGCUCCACUGAGAGCUCAUACCUGGCCUUUUGAAUGUGACCUUUUUUUUAAUUAGUCUCGUCAAACAACCCAGAUCUGCGAGGCCUAAUUUCCAGCUCUGACAUUUAUUACUGCAACCUAGAGCUCAUGUCAUUGGCUCUGAAAUGUGCAUAAUAAAGGGCAAGACUGCGAUGCUGAAGAUGUUUUGAUUUCUACAUUGAAAAAAAAAAUAUCUGUAACUCUUGGCGUGUAUUGAGAAGGAGCUUUCGGAUUGAACAAAUCAUCCUCCGGAGGGAAACAGGAUCAGAGACUGUUCUCCGAGUCUCAGCCGGAGGAUUUAAUAAUCGGGAGCGUUCCUGUAAGUCCUCCAAGCCUCGCAGACACGGGACGAAGCCAAUUGCUUCCCAAAAGGAGGACGUUGGGAUGUUGAAAGGGGUCUGUCACAUUUCUGUUUCCCGUGUUCGAUUCACUGUCCAUGCUUGACUGGCUGGAUUUAAUGGCUUUGAAGGAAAAACUGGAGUUUCUUCUUCAUCUUCCUCUCCAAAAGAUGUGUUUAAAUAUAAACUCCAAAAGUCUAAUCCACGACAGAUCAGAAGAAACUGAAUUUACCGUAAAUUGGUCUGAAAACGAAGAGGAAACCGCAGAUUUCAGGAGCACGACAACUAUCCUCCAUGCAUCUGAACACAGAAAUAGAUUUGCCAGAACAUGUCUGGCCUUAUUCCCCAGCCAAUUGUCCUCGUGACAGGCGGAUAAAUGUGUGUCAUUUUAAGGACAGCUCUCCGGCGGGGGGCCUGUAGCUCUGGGAGAACAUGUACAUGUCAGCUCCGCAAACAGUCGGCGCCGUUUACUGCAGGCGUGACAAGUCUGCUCGUGCUUGUCUGUCUGUUUCUCUGCCUGCCUGUCUGUCCGUCUGCUGUAGUACUACACGCAUUUCAAUGAAUGAACUUCCUCCAGCAGCAGUAGCAGCAGCAGCAGCAGCGGGGGAGGCGCCCUUGUUCAAAGUCAGCGCCCUGAGCGAGUUAUCACACUUCAGGGAGCUGGCCUUUCAUACCUGCAGGAGGACGGGUCGCACCUGCACAUGCACCUCACACACGGCGCACUCACAUUUCUUUACAUGACUUGGAUCUAACCAGUCACACCGAGUCCAGCAUUUACAUUCACACACACACACAGCAGAUUGGCUUUAUGAGCAGGCUGUGGGCAGCCUUUAAGGCUCUUGGCAGGCUGUGUGUGUCUGUAUUCAUUGUCACGCCAACCUCCCAUAGGCGCAAAGCCUGCGAGGAUUUUCAGACCUGGAAUCCGAUCCUACAUGUGCGUUUUUAUGAGAAUGAGGACUUAAUAAGACGACCUCACCAAGAUUUGACUCUCAUUGGCUGCAGGGUGUCCACUACUUCCUGAGAAAGCACAUCUAUCCUAUCAGAUUUAUGAAGUCUCUGUUAUGUUGCCAGAGUUUUAAUUUAGACCGUGAACAGUCUGGACUAAAAAAUGAGUAACUAUGGCAACAGGGACUCAGUCAGGAGCUCAGAAUUGAUGCAGUUUGUCAACAAGAUAAAAUCACUCCUAAUCAGGGUAUGAAGCGUUUCUCUAAACCUCUUGACGAGGAAACGGCAGAUUAAAAACUGACAAAUGAAGAGUGAAGAGCUCGUUCUCCGUAGAGAUGUGAAUCCUAAAUCCAGUCCAAAGACAAGACCCUCAAAGCUGGCUAACUUUGGACCUCUUAUUGCCCUACGACGAACCAAAGACCCUGAGAGUUUCUGUUGAGUUUCCAAAAAUCAAUUCAGGAUUAGGGCUUAUUCCCAAAAAGGGGGCGGGGCUACAACUUAAAGACACAGUACUCCGAUGGGCCGCAUUUUCAGAGCAUAGAAUAGGAAAGCACUGCAAGACAGCUGGAGUUAGCUGAUAAACAAUGCAGCAUUUUAGCUAGGGCUGGGCCUCAAAUCAAUAUCAUGAUAUAUUGAUCAGUUCACCUCGACAACGAUAAAUGGACGAUAACUACUCCUCAAGCUGCUCACCCCCUCCCACAUUAACUUUGUCUACUUCAGCCGCUACAACUCUUAAACCGCCCUCCAUCUCCUCACCUGUCUUUCUUUUCGUCUCUGAUGUAGGACAGCGUCUUAAAGGGACAUGAGACGAUAUCCUACCUACACACAUCCAAAACCAACUUUGAUUUUUUUAUGUUUUUUUAACACCGAAUAUAUCGAUAUGGGCAAAAUGACCUCAAUUAUUGUCGUAAAUCUUUGUAUCUGUAAAUUUUCGGUUUAUCGCCCAGCCCUAAUUUUAGCAUUAGCAUUUUUCCUUUCUAGGAGACGCAGUAAAGAGCGGCAGAACCUCUUUCAAGUCAUUUUCUUUUAGAUUACGUUGUGUCUACUUUAGCUACUAAAGACCUACCUUUUCAGUUCGGCUCUUAGCUGAAUUUUUUUUUAAUCCAUCUGCAUUAUGUGCACUAUCAUCUUAUUUUAGUCCUAGAGUAGUUAUUUUGUGUUUUAUUACCUCUUUUUUUUUAUUUACUUUCUUUUAUUGUUAGAUUUUAAGACUUUUAUUUAAUUAACUUUUAACGCUUUAUCACCUUUAUUAUAUUUUAUCAUGGUUUUAUCGUUUAGUUUUUUUAACUCAAGAUAGCGUUUCCUCAGUCAUCUGUGGCAAGUUGAAGAGUCCUGGUCUUUUGCAUGUGCAUCUGUGUGUGUGUAAGUGCUGUAUGUGUUGGAUGGGGGUUUGGUAUUUGUAUCUUUAUUUAUUUUAUUUCAUUGUUUUUUUUAAUAUCCUGCGUGAAUGGACAGCACUUUGCGCUACAUCCAUGUAUGAAAAGUGUUUUAAAAAUAAAGUUUGAUUGAUUGAUUGAUAGUUUCUUCAAUUUGAUCAACAGUCUUUUUCACAGCUUUUUAAAAACUUGAUUGAAGUUUCAAAUAAAACUCAUGAAAGAAUAUCAACUAAUUUUUAUUUCUCCUGCAGUAAAUGGAAAUAAAAACGAAGUGGAAUAAUUCCUGAUGAGGCAUUUAUGAAGUGGGCUGAAGAGACCUCGCUCCAAUGUUCCCACAAACUACUGAUAAUUAUCUUCAACAAAUGAACUUUUUGUAAGAGUAAAAUAUUUAAAAAUGUCCCUGGUAGAAAUCAGUGAAAAACUCAUUGAUCGAGACGUUGCUUUUAUAGUGUAAAACUAAAUGUUUCACCAUAUUUGCUAGAUUUGAUUUCAGUCCCCUGGUUCCCGUGGCGUGGUGCAAUCUGAUGAAAGGAAAUCCAUUAAAAGCUCCUCUAUGGUUGUGGACUCGAACAUGUUUCAUAAAAAGCCAACAAAGGGCUGUGGAUGUCCUUGAGAGGAAAAAAAACUAUCAGGGGAAAAAAAAAAAGAAAUGCAAACAACAAAACCUGAAUCGUAUCUGUUUUUGAAAGCAGCCAUUCAGGGUCGACGGUGCAGUUCACCUUUCUCUUGAUCGCUGUCGCAGCAGCUCGUUAUAAUUCUGUUAAUGAGUGAUUUCAGCAAAAAUAAGGUCGUCAAAUGCCUAAAGAUUCACGGCUACAGAGAUGUGAGAUUUAUGAAAAAUGUUGAAAUUAACUUCUCAAAUGUCCGACUCUUCUCUCUGCAGAUGAUGUGGUUUUGUUAGCUACUACGGUCAGAUCUCCUGUAAGUCUACGUUGUCCUGUCUGUUUUCUUCAAUUUGCUGGAUGUCUCUUUCACUCAGCUCCUUUAACUUCCUGUUUUAACUCUCCUUACUCAUUUCUUCUCCGUUUUUCUCCUCUUUUCUGUCUUUUCUGCUGCUGACUAGUUUGGCAUCGACCUCCAAUUCUCUCCAAACAAACUGACGGUUAUAUUCAUCAAAAAUAUCCUCCAUGUUGUUUACUGACGCCAACAGUAAUCGAAGGUCUCAUCCAGUUGUCAACAGAAAGAGAUGUCUGGGAUCAGGAUGUCUCCAGUGUCACUUUUAAUUUUCAUAAUUAAGGUUUGGACCAAUUAGACUCGAGUCUUUAAGCUUUUACCAACCCUUGCUUUAGUUGGGCCUCUACAAAUGUAAUAUUAUAAAACAUAGAACAGUCAAUGACAUAUAAAGAGAUAAAGAAACCUACAUUUAUAACAAUAAAGCAGUACAUGAAUUGUACGCACCAGUACUAAUUCGUCUAUAAAUGCUGAAGUGCAUCUUUCAUUUGCUUUAAGACAGCUCUUAACCCUCAACUUAAAGGAUUAUAUAUCUUGAGAGUUAAGAAACAAACCCCAGCAGAUGACUGACAGAAAAUCAUGGUGUCAUCCACAAAAACUUAAAAACACAGAAUCAGUCUUUAUUCAAACGUGCAUAAAAAAACACAGUACAUAAACGCAACACUAAUCCAUCCUCUCUUUCCGCUAUGCAGAUCAUCUUCAAUGCAAUUAAAGGCUAUUACUGCACAUUACCCAUAAUCCUAUGACAUGUUUGAAGCAUGACGGCGUGCGGGGAGCUCUGCUGCUGUGAUGUCAUCAUACGCUGGCGGUUAUUUCUAAUAAGGAGGACGCGCUCAGGCUGAACGGCGACAGUUAGAGAGAUAACGAGAGUCAUAAUUAUACUACUUGAAAAAUGUGCAGCUGUAAUUAAUCAUAAUGAUGAAUGUUACUAAUCAUCCAUAAUAACACAGUGGAUUUUCUAUAUGAGUAUAACUCUAAACGAAACGUUCAAGCCAUGUCCGUAAAUUCAACUGUAAUAAUUUAAAGUGUAAAUCUGAUUAUUAAAUUUCCUACAGGGAGUCUGGAGGUUUGAAAGAAUAUAAAAAGAAAUAAACAUGAAAUUUUAUGUUUUGUUUGAAGAUAAUGUAAAAAAAAAUAAGGACUAAGACGACAUCACACUGAUGUAGGGCUGGGCGAUAUGGCCUCAAAUCAAUAUCACGAUAUAUUGAGCAGUUCAUCGCGAUAAUGAUAAAUGGACGAUAACUACUCCACAAGCUGCUCACCCCCUCCCAGAUUAAAUUCCUCCAUCUCCUCACCUGUCUUUCCCUCUUUGUUACAGACUGGAUGGGGUGGAGUCACGUCUCUGACGUAGGACAGCAUCUUAAAGGGACAUGAGACCAUAGCCCACCUACACACAUCCAAAACCAACUUUUAUUCAUUCAUUUGUUUUUUGACACUGAAUAUACCGAUUUGGGCAAAAUGACGUCGGUUAUAUUGUCAUAAAUUUCAGUAUCAGUGAAUUUUCAGUUUAUCGCCCAGCCCUACACGACUGUAAACCAAAAAAAGACACUAAAUGUAUUUUUUCUAAGUAUCGCUCUGAAAUAAACGACGCCUCUCUGUUAGUGUUUUCCUCGACACUCUUGUUUCAACCAAAAACUCUUUUUUUUCUCUUUCUGGACGUGACAUUUGAACACAUCAUGAUAUCGUAUUACUCUCGCCUAGUCCUCAUAUUACCGAUCCGACCUUGAACACCUCACAAUGUAAUCGCAUCGAUUCUAUUAAUGUGUGUACGCCAUUUAUUUUAAGAGCAAAACGUGAAGACUCAAAGGAGGCAAAACUGAUUCUUGGGUUUUGACAUGAGCAGAACUGGGUUUGUAAUGAAGGUGGGUUGAGUAAGCACUGUAUAACGACCAAUUCGGGACGCUGGUUAUGAUUUCAUUCACGCCAAAGUUCCACAGUUUCUCUCAUCAGUUAUCCUUCAGAAAAGCAAAAGAAACUUAUUUGACUUUCAUAUAAACCGAUCUAAAAAAGCAGAACCAUCCUCGGUUCGCUGAGCUCUUCACAUUUCUCUUUCCAACCCUCAAACCGACCCAAACUGAUGGAGAUGAAGUCAGUCUCACUGAAAAUUACUCACUAGUACAGAUUACAUCAUUGUGUUUCAUAGCAACAUCCCGGCUCACAAAAAGCUUCCCUUCAGGCGAUAAGUCUCUCUCUCUCUCGCUCUCUGUUACAAAAAUACAGACACACCAUCUCUCACCCUCAAGUCAUGACUCAGUAAAUCCACACACACCUCUCUCUCUCUCUUCCAGGUGUGAUAACUUUAAAGCAAACGCCGUGGCAGUAAGCUUUGGUCUCAGCAUAAAGGCGAAUCGACGGAGAAGGCGUGAGAGAUAAAGCUUCGCCAUGUGGACUUUCUUCUCUCGUGUCUUCUGUUAAUGAGCUACAGAAAAAAAACUCAAGUCCUGCAGUGAGACUGAUCAUCACAGACUGACCACAUGCAGCUCUUCUGAGCCAUAUGGAGGACGCCUUUAUGCAGAGUACCAUACUGUGCAAAGAUUGUUUCCCAUAGGAGGAGGCGAUAAUGGAGAAUGUUUGACAAAGGCGUAGAAACUAAACUCUAAUUCAACAGUCAUGAGUACAUGGAGCUAACUGAACUGGGACCAAUCGUGAUCCUUUAUUUCAGGAGACGUUUUCGUAAACAACCAAGAUGGCAGCUUCACCCGCAGGACGGUCAAAUGGAUCCACUUGGAUUGGAUUGAAGAGAGCAGGUCUUGGGAUUCUUCUUGGAAACCAUGAACACCGCAUCUACCUCUCUGAAGAAGAGGGAGAUCACCGAGGUGAAAGGGAUGUUCCAAGUUAGGGUCAAACACACCGUAACACCGAGUUAGACACCCCCUCGAGAGAUGGAUGUUACCGACCGCUUGCUUCUCUAGUUAUACCAACUUUAGUAACGACCGAAGGAUAGCAAUAGGUCAAACAGGUCAAUGUCUCCACACGCAAACCUCAACCAAAACGCCACUCUAUAGCCACAAAUAAUGCUCAGAACAGCACCUAACUUCAUCAACAGGACAUAAAGGGUCCCAGACAUAGUACUAUACACCAAACAUCUUUCUAACUUUGACUCAUUUCUUUAGCAAAGAGACUAAACACAACUCACCUACUCUCUUCCAGCAGACGCUUGUUUGUGGGGGAGCCCUCACGAGUCGAUCGCAUGGUGCAGCGGAGUUUUGCAGCUUAAGGAAGAACAUUUAUGAUAAUUACUUAAUGGAAACGCAAUCAGACUGAGACGCUAAGGCAGAAGAACUACAGCGUCUGCAGUGUAAAUGAUUAAUGUGGUGAUUUUUACUUCACUCAGCGAUCAACUCGUCAAGGCUCCUCCACAAACAAGCGUCUGCUGGAAGAGAGUAGGUGAGUUGUGUUUAGUCUCUUUGCUAAAUAAAUGAGUCAAAGUUAAAAAGAUGUUUGGUGUCUAGUACUAUGUCUGUGACCCUAUAUGUCCUGUUGAUGAAGUUAGGUGCUGUUCUGAGCAUUAUUUGUGGUUAUAGAGUGGUGUUUUGGUUGAGGUUGGCGCGUGGACCCAUAGACCGCUGUGUAUUGCUAUCCUUCGGUCGUUACUAAAGUUGGUAUAACUAGAGAAGCAAGCAGUCUGCAAAAUUCAUCUCUCGACGGGGGUGUCUAACUCGGUGUUACGGUGUGUUUGACAAGAACAUAAUUUUACGCAGAAUAUCCCUUUAAUAGAAGCGCACACUUCAAAAACUAAAUGCUGCAACACAGCGGUGAACAUUUCCCAGUCCAAACUUUCUUUAAACCUGUUGUUGGUGUCAAAAUUAAAACAGGCAGACAAGAUGUAGAUUAGAUAUUAAAAGAGCUACAACUUCAUCUGACUCCUUUUAAACCGUGAUCAGUUUCAAACAUCUCUGAUCAGCUUCUGAGGGCCCGACGACAGGAUUCGCCGCACAAGAAAUGACCCCCAAACCGAGCCGUGAAGAUCAUCAUUUUGCAAAUCCAUGUUUAACCCUUUGCUGAAGUAUAAUGCAAGUGGACUAAGUUUCUAAUCUUCUUUCUAUCCUUAUGAGUAACACCCUAAAAAAGUGUUAAAGUCGAUCUCCGGUUUCUCAUUAUGAACUCCUGAAAAACAAUUGCCUCUGAACACGUGUCCUGCUGCGUUUUUAAUCCCCCGUCGGCCAAUUUUAACACCAACAGCUCACAAAUUGACAGGAAAAAUAUACUCUUGAUGUGGCAGCUGUUUCCAGCUCUAUAAAAAGAGUGAAAGUUCAACUAUUCAGCGGCACAGAGAGCUGUGAAAACCUCAGAGUCAGCCACAGCGCGGUUACCGCAGCUGACAGGUGAUAAUAUCAUCAUUACUCACGUUUCGGUGGAAAAUCAGAGCACGUUAGAAACUUUUCUUCUGCUUUGAUGCACUCAGAGAGCGAGAGCGUGAUCAGUCGAGUUUAACACGCCAAGGACCACUUAAGAAACAGAAAGCAAAUACUGCACAAGCUCUCGGAGGGGUUCAAGCGUUUAAAGCAAAGCUCCGAAGACUCUGUAGGAGGAACAACACCUGUUUCGCUUCAUAACAAUGCCACAGGAGAGGAGUCGACUUGGAAAAGUUUGCUCAAAGCUGCCAUUUUGGACCGAUCCGAUCCCUAGACUUUCGGUUUGACCGGCUGUUCAAAUUUUCCAUCGCAGAAAAACAACGGAGCGUCUUAAGUAAAUGCUAAGAGGACAAACUGCCUUCAUUCCUGCCAACUAUCCCCUCCACACGUCCAAAUAACAGGGCCGCCUCAUAAAUAGUGCUCGCAGAAGGCUGAGGAGAGCUCUGCAGACAUUAUUACAGACAUCCUGUCACAUAUGGUGCUCAGCCCGACGUGCCAGCACACACUGUGGUCGGGCAAACGCGGCUGCAGACCUGGGGUCAGGACAAAUGGCCUCACUGGGUGUCUGUGCCAGACGAGGGUCACGGUUAAUCAGCAGUGAUGUACAACGGCGUGGGCGGGAACAGAAGUGCUGAAUCUGCUCCUCCGAAGAUCUGCGCACUCUUGUAAUUUCAACGUGCAAAACCAGAGGUCACAGCAAACUUGGACCCGUGUGAAUCCAGCCACUCUAAGAUGCUCUUCAUCUGCAGGAGGAGACCCUUAAGACUCUUCAUGAAACUCACUUUAAUUACAGGAAAGGUCCUCCGCGUUGGAGAUCACUCGAUCCAAUUCCUCGCUGACUAAAGGGUUCAGACACCGUCUCCCGGCUGAAGGUCACAGAUCUGAUAGCUGCAGCUGCUUGUAUCUAUGAAGGGCCUAAUUAAUUAAUUGAAACUCCACCAGCUCGCUCUGUGUGCAGAUGAGAGCCUCGCUUAAAUGCCAUUAAUUAAAUAUUAAAGCAUACAUGAAAGGUGGACAAGACGGCUGCUGCUAAACCUGAGUGACAGUCACUCUGACUUUAAUACAUUAUGCAUCAAAGACGAGCCGAUCCCCUGUUGUCGUUUCUGCGAGAGGUGAGAGGAAAAGCGCGGUCCUGACACGGCCUGCGGGGUCACUGAUCAAAAUCUUUGUGUUGUUCGGACCAGCAGUUUGACCUACAAGCUUCAUCUGCUGCACAUUACCUCCACCUUUUUCCAAAAUAGCCCCGAGCCCCAGGCUGCACACUCACAUCAAUACCACUGAGCAUCUUUUCAAGCUUGGUUUGGAGCUGAAGGAGAGAGAGAGAGAGAGAGAGAGAGAGAGAGAGAGAGAGAGAGAGAGAGAGAGAACAGAGGGAUGAGGGCUGGAAAUCAUGGAGAGCUGAAGGUAGAACUAGAAUGUGAGGAUUUGCCCUUUUCCGAGCAGUCAGUCCAACAAUAGUGGAAGAACAAUAAUGUGUGUGUUAGCUCUGUUAGCUCUGUCACAGACACUUUCAAACUCUCUUGGACUAAAAUCUGUCAAAUUAAUGUAAAAUGUGCUGUUUGAUCCAGCAGAGGGCACCCUCUUCGUAACCUGACCAUUGAAUGACAACCUUAACCUCAGCAAAUAAGUACAGUGUUGUAUUUCCACGACUAAAGGAGGACCUGAGUAUUCAAAACUGUGAGUUUUGUUGGUAAUUUGUUGAAGAUUAGGAUCUGACCAAGGUUAUCAUAGUUUGGGAUUUUUCAGAAUGGUUUAGUUUUAUUACGUUUGGACUUUUUUUCACUAAUUCAGUUAGUUUUAAUUAGUUUUUCUGAAUUAUUAGUUUUUAUAUAAGUUUGAGUUUUUCAUACUUGGUAAUAAGGUUAUUCACUCGUGCAGCACCAGGUGAUGUGAAUUCUGGCACGAGUGAAAAGAUAGCGUUCCUACGUGUUCAACUAACCAGCAGCUCUUUGGUCAUCAUUAGCUCCAUUUACACGGGUCCAAAAAUCCUAUUUACAAUCAGAUUGAAAGGUCAAUCAGAUUCAAAAUGUCUCAUAUAAACACCUUAGCCAAUCGGAUUCACCUGGAUCUGAUUGUAUUUCGGUUCAGAUUGUAAAAGGUAGUCUACGCCGAUUAAUAAUCCGCUCCAUGCUCCAUAUACGGCUGAGUGGUACGCUGAGCGUGCCCAAACGAAAACAAACAUGGCGAACAAACAGAAAAACUGCUGUGACCACAACACAAUAAGCUUCCCCAACAAAACACGACGCGGAUCCAUCUUUCUACAGGUAAACAGGAAGCAGGAAGUGCACCUCUUCUUCUCUUACACAUUUGCAGGUAGUGGCAGAGCGACCUUCUGCACAUGUAAAAAAAAACCAAUACAAUCGGAUUCAGCUGGGGCCAUGCAAACGCGGAUCGAACGUGGAUGUCUUUACUUAAAGUUCAUGUAGAUGGAAUCAGAUUCACUUAAUCCGAUUGAUUUCAAUCAGAUUGAGACAAACUACCCAUAUAAACGAGGCUAAUGAAAACUGUCCAUUAUUGUUGUCUCCUCCUUCCUGGAGUGUUCUCCUGGCUGAGAUGUUUCUUCUUUUUCAGGGGAGCUCCUCAGAGAUGCCACUUUGUUGAGGUACUCACGAUUAGCGUGUCUGUGUGAGCUUCUUAAAUGGACUUUCAGAUUUGUUUUCAGGGCUCUUGCUUUUGUCUUUCCCUCUGUUGUAUUUAAAGAAAUUUCAUAUCGGACUCUGUCGCUCUCUCCUGAGUUUUGUCGCCAUUUUGACAGGUAGAACGGUGCUGAGAAGCCGACUGUAAACAAGAAGUGAUGAACUGGGAGGUGCCGUACAGCACUGCUGGCUCAUGUAAAACUGCUCGAGUGAAAUAAAACAAUUUCAUAUCGAUCCGCUAUUGACAAAAACAAAAAUGAAGAGAUAUUUAUCUAUAAUUUUAUUACGUUUCAGUUAGUUAUCGUUUUUUUCUUUUAAUUAUAUAUUUUUUUUCUUUCAGUUAACGACGAUGUUUCUUCAAUUCUAGUUUUCGUCAUCUCGUUAGUUUUAAUUGGCGAUAAUAACCCUGGAUCUGACAGGUCACACAGAGGAAGUGCAUGAACACACUUACAGCUCGACCUCGCUGCUUCAUCCUCGCGUGUGCUUCAGCACGGGGGAAAAAUCUGCCUGGCAUCAAACCGUGCUCUAUGUGGUGACAGACUUCAGUAAUGGAAAAGCGUCUCAUUCAACCACCCGACCUCAACGGCACAAAAAAAGACUCGGCACUAAGAGGCGGUGAGUGAGGGAUUUCCAGAAACCCACUGACGACGAAGCCGCGGAGGCCUGCAGGGGCGAGAAGAUCUACACGGCAUCAGAAACCAGCGGCAAACAGGGCACUCUAGUUCUACAUUUACAUUUCUGUGUUCACGCUGUCUGCACGAUGCACAGCUUGAGAGCAUCCAGCGGUCACCUGAUUGUCAGCUACAUACUCGCAGUUGCAUGCAGGAAAUGUCAUCACUGAUUUAUCUAAUACGGGGGUUGCAGCCACCGUGUCUAACCAGUGCUUGGAAUGGGAAUGGAUUGAUCUGUGCAUCCAAUAACUCAAACCAGCCGUGGAACAAUGCUUGGUCAUGCAGAGAAAAAAGUGGAAAGACAAAAAAGAGGAAAGCGCCGAGACAAACAACAACAACAACAACAACAACAUGGCUGCUGCUGUGAGUGGAGAGAUUAUUCCCCGAAAAUGGCAGAGUCUCAGAUUUUUGGUGUUGGAUCUCAAACAAACCGCAGUUUUCAGAGUCAUGUCUUUGUCGUUUGUAGGUUUUUUUUUACUGCAUCAGUCUGUGAUCGUGGUUUUAGAGUAUUUUUGUAUAAAUCCAGCAUAUACAGACCUGCAACAAGUACAAGCAGGUAGCGGUCAGAGGCUUUAAUCUUCUCCACGAUGAGUAUGAUCACCCAGCUGCAGAGAAACAAAGGUGCACUCAAAGCUACACUUGAUCUCCAUCUGCAGAGACGCUCGUCAGCCCUGCUUAUCUUUGCAGAAUUUACAAACAAUCAAGAAGCUUCAGACGCUCUUGGAUCCCUGCAUGUAAGCCUGUUUUACAAACACUGAAACUGACACCACAGGAGACCCACUAAUUAAAGCUGUGCAUCACAUGUUGACUAUACGAUGCAAGUUUUAUUCAAAUUGGCUAACAUCGAUAGUUGGUGGUGUUGUUGAUCUCCUGAGGAUUUGACACUCGUGCAGCGUAAGUAAUUGGAAAGACUGUCUCAUCAAAAAAGUCAAAAGCUCCUCAAUGUAGCAUCACAAAAGUCUAUAAAUGCCGUGAAUUAAAUUUAAAGUCGCUCCAGUUUGUGCGCAAAAUGACACUUUUAAAAUACACAACACCGUACAUUGACAUUCAUUUGUAAAGUUGCACAAUCAAUUAAAACAGACUUCUGUUGUCGGCCCUUUUAAACCGUCAUUCCCACCGAUAUAAAGUCAGACGAAGCUUGUGGGUGUUACUUUUUACACAGUUUGUGGGCGUGUCCUUCAGUACUGCCCUAAUAGGACGGCAGAGCGUGACAUCAGGGUCGGGCAAGUCACAUGAUGUUCGUGAAAGAGGGUGUACAAGGAACAUGGAAAAUGUCCAGGGAUUCCUCCAACUGUGCAAUUUUGGAGUGGACAUACAAUGACAUGAUUAACUAGGGCUGGGCGAUAAACCGAAAAUUUACCGCUACCCAAAAUUUACGACAAUAACUGACGUCAUUUUGCCAAAUCGGUAUAUUCAGUGUCAAAAAAAAAAGUUGGUUUUGGAUGUGUGUAGGUCAGAGGCGUGACUCCACCCCAUCCAGUCCGUAAUAAAGAGGGAAACACAGGUGAGGAGAUGGAGGACGGUUCAAAAGUUGUAGCGGCUGAAGUAGACGAAGUUCAUGACGGAGGGGGUGAGCAGCUUGUGGAGUAGUUAUCGUCCAUUUAUCGUUACUGAGGUGAACUGAUCAAUAUGUUGUGAUAUUGAUUUGAGACCAUAUCGCCCAGCCCUAGAAAAGAGGCUGCAUCAUUGUGGAUGCUUCUGCUUCAUCAUAGCUGGUGUGUAUUUGGCGACACAGUGCUCAGAUGCUUCUCGGGGUAAACUCCAACACACUGUAUCCAAACUGUCAUCACGAUGUCUUAACUCACAGACAGCGACAACUGCACAGGGACGUGUUCUGGUGACAUUAUCGUUGGAACAACUUAUGCAGCUGUGUCAAUCAAAAGCUAUAAAUAACUGUCCACUUGGGUACUGCGGCUGUAGAUGCUCAAACUGAGACAAAAACAGCUUUUCUAUGAGCUGCUCGUGUUUGCAGAAUAAGCCGGAGUUUGUUUACCAUUUCCGUCUUAUUUCAGUCCUGCUGCUGCUGCUGGUGGUGUCCUCUGGGUCUGCAUGACACUGUAAACCCUUUAAUCACUGUCUGAUACUUACACACACACACACAGCAAAACAUCUCGUCCAAUUACUGAUUCAGCGUCAAUUAUUUUCUCAUACGGCGGCUUUGAAAAGUUACUCACUGCAGUUUAACUCGGACUGGAUGUGCGGAGGUAAGACGGCUGCCUUCAAAGCUACUCUGCUGGAGUUAGCAUUCAUUUCUCAUCAUGGGCUUGUCGAGUGAAUGUAUUAGGGCUGGGCGAUAUGACCUCAAAUCAAUAUCAUGAUAUAUUGAUCAGUUCACCUCGAUAACGAUAAAUGGAUGAUAACUACUCCACAAGCUGCUCCUCCCCUCCCACAUUAACUUCUUCUACUUCAGCCGCUCCAACUUUCUCUCCGUCCUCCAUCUCCUCACCUGUCUUUACCUCCUUGUUACAGACUGGAUGUGGGUAGCCUACCUACACACAUCCAAAAACCAACUUUUAUUUAUUUAUUUUUUUGACACCGAAUAUACCGAUGUGGGCAAAAUGAUGUUGAUUAAGGGCUGCACGAUAUAUCGUUUGAGCAUCGUCAUCGCGAUAUUCGUGCGCAUCGCUAUGACGAUUGCAGAGCCUGCGAUGUCGGAGGCGAAUGAACUCAUCUAAUUUCAAGGGAAGCUGACUGAGACACACUCCAUGUGACUCUGCAUGUGCUGUGCAGCGAUCCAUCAAUUACAUUCGUUCUUUCCUCAGUUGCCAAUCAGACUACCCUGACAGCCGUCAAUCAAUACCAGAGAGGAGGAAACCACGCCCCUGCACAUGGAGUGAGUCGCUACUGCUGCCGAGAAAUGCAUACCCGCCAAGAAUUACUUUACUAAGCAGUGCGCGUUUUGCGAGGUGCAUGCAAUUCUCGGAGGACAUGCGUUUCUCGGCACAACACCGCUAACAACAACAACAACGAUCGCAAAAUGAACAACGAACAAGCGAAAACCACCGAAAAUGAAGAUUUGUUGCCAAAAAGAAAAGGAAAGUCAGUUAUCUGGAAUUAUUUUGGUUACAAGAAAGUCCAAAACACGUGUUCUGUGUUCAUCUGUUGCCACAAGAACGUCCCAGCACAAUAAAAGCUAAAAAUAUCUCUGAGAGAGACAGAAGCCGUUCUACUAACAUUCACAAAAAGAGGUAAGAUCAGAGCAGAUUAACUGUCCUCAAGAUUUCAGCAGAAAGUGAUAUUCAGGUCAUCUGGUGAAAAUUCCUCGAUUUUUCAAUAUGUAUCGCAGGGUUGGAAAACAUUGCAGUGUUAGUUUUUUCCAAUAUCGUGCAGCCUUAUCUCGGGUAUUGCUGUAAUUUUUUGGUUUAUCGUCCAGCCCUACUCUAUACCCUCAGUAAAAAUAAGGCCCACCUCAUUGUUGUGUUCAGUGAUUUUCCACUUAACCCCAAACUUCUUUUAGAUUGAGAGGUUCGCACCCGUCGACACCAGCAGCUCCCUCUUUGAUACGUCCAAACUCCAUCAUCGCGAACUCUUGACCUCGAGUGAACCCUGCCACCACUCAAACCUCAGGAUACAAGCUAACUCCUUUCACUUCACCCGCGGCUAACCCCGAGCGCCAACCCACCACCGCUUUGAUGGUACGCCUGAUGCCAUGAUGAUUGUUGUGCGAGGAGAAGAAGCGGUUUGCUUCCCUUUGUGUCAGCAACUUUUACCGGGGCUGCGGCCAAAUCCCCCCCUAAGACGUUCACGCACACACAAGUGGAAUCAAACACAGCUAAACAAAAGCAUAUCCAACCACUAAUUUUAUUUCAGAGGUUUCACACACAAACAAUGAGGAGUAAUCCAAAAGCCGGAGCUCCUUACGGGCAGGGAGAGGAUUUACUUUCACAAUCACGUGUUGCAUUGUGCAACAGACAAACACACCAAGAGCUGAUUAAGGUUUCCUCGAGAAUUCAGGAUGUCUUACCUGCAGAAGCUAAAAGACAGACUGAACGAGGAGGGAACUAGGUUAAUGAAAUGUGUGUCACCGAGAGCCACGUUAAAGAUCCGAAUGGAGAUGUAAGUCUAAUUGGGGAUGAUGCUCCCGGCUGACAUGAUAAGAGCGUGUGAUGUGGAUGUUGUAGUGCCAGGAGAGAAGACAUGCAGAAACAAAGGGAGCGGAGUAAAAUGUAAAUCAGCCGACUUCAUUCCCUGGAAAAAAAAAAAGGGUGAUGUGUACGUGUGUUAAAGUGGCGACGCCGAGGGGGGAGCUGCUGUGAUAGUGCCACAGUCUGCACAGGGUUGAUCUGUAUGAGAGUGUAGAGAAGAUCACAAAUGUAGAGUGAGAGCCGAACUUCAACUCCUGACCGAGGUCGACAAUAAAAAGGCGACUCAAGCGCGGGCAGGAGGAGGAGCGACAGUCGACAAGAACAUACGGUGCCGACAGCAUCAGUUUGGACCGGGCGAUCUGGUUAAAAUAAAAAGUAUCACAAUAUUUUCUGUCAUAUUGUCUGAUCUCGAUUAUCACAAUUGUUUUUUGUAUUUUUUUAAACUGCCAGAGAUUAUUUUAACAUUUUAUUAGACGCCUUGAUGAAGACGCCAUGAAACGUAAACAUUAGACGAUGUAAACGUAGAUUAUAAGGUCGAUUGCUGCUUUGGUCUGAUGGCUGCACCGCUAGUUGUAGCUAAACUGCUAAUGCAAUUUUAUGCUUUCCGCAUAAUCAUCCAGGAAGAACUUCUUCAAAUGAUUAAACAGAUCUGUUUAGGGUGACCAUAUUCUGAAUCACUACAAAGAGGACACUUCUACGCGGGGCGGAGUCGCACAAAAAAUUUUGAGCGUUUUUCUGGUUUGGGUCGAGUGUUUUUUCCGUGGUUCUAACUCGGUUAGUCCACGGUUCACAAACUCAAAACUUCCACACCAAACGCCGGACAUUUGAAGGAUUUUAUAAAGUCCCCUGGACAGGCCGGACAGCCCCCAAAAAGAGGACAUAUCCGGGUAAAAGGGGACGUCUCACAGACCUUAGAGUCUUUUAAAUCCUCUUUAAAGACCCACUUUUUCUCCCUUGCUUUUAAUAAAUGAGCACACAGGAAUCAGAGGCACUGUAGCUUUUAUUCUUCUACUGUCUCUAUUUUAUUUUACUGUUUAUAAUUUUAUUUCUUUUAUUGUUAUCUAUUUACUUCUUUUAUUUAUCCCAUGUACAGCACUUUGUUUGACUGCUGUCUUUUAAGGUGCUUUAUAAAUAAACAUUGACUUGACUUGACGUAUGGUCACCCUAGAUUUGUUGUGUUGCCGGUUUUUGAGGGCACCGACCGCCAAAAUACUUUGCCCAUCGGCUAAACUGCUUGACGUCACUUUAGAGAUACCCGAACCAUGGCACCACCACACAACCGACACUGAGUAACUUUUCUCCUCAACUAUGGCACCUUUGGACGAUGACUCAAAGUCACGGCUGACAUUUAUUUUGCAGCCCUCAGCUCCACGUUCGGUCAUUCUGUUUACUUCUCCGGCAACGUACAGAAAUGAGCAGGAAAAGCUUAACUCUGAUUGGCUGUCACUCAAAUUUUCGCCAUGUUUGAUCAAGUAAAUAUGCUGACAGCUAAUCACCGUGAUUGAACUGAAAUUUAUCAUGAUCAUAUAAUCGCCCUGUCCUGGCAUCAGUCUUCACCAACCUGAUCAGAAUAUAUGAUAUAUUCCCACCACAACGAGGGGAUUUCAGCCCACUUUACUCCACUCCUCAUCCCUUUAAUUAAGGUGGGGGCUUUCCUGAGAGUGCUGCAAGGCUCCUCGCUGAAGUCCAUCUCCAUCUCCCUCCAGUUACCGUGUAAUGUGCCUGCUUCAGCACUUGCCUUCCCACUACAAGAUCAUUAAACCGCCAUGCCAUUCAUCAUCUGCGAUCUGCUGCUGAGAGCGACACACACCCAAGUCUCCUUUCUCUGUGUUUAAUACACUCCCCGUUUCAAUGUCAAACUCGGCUUAAAAUGAGAGCGGAGACGAAUGAGGCUGAUGUAAAUAAGAGCUCAGAGCGGAUAUUUCUGCCACAUUCACACUGAUGGCUUAUCGGUCUUCCGGCAAAUGACAUAAAAAUGCAGAUUCAUGCCAUUUGAGCGCUGCAGAGUGGUGAUGUUUCAUAUUAACACAUUAGCGUGAGUCAGGGCUGAAAAAGGGUCCAUUUAGCCCUCUGAUACCCCGACUACACAUCAGAGGGAGGCUGUCCGGGCUCUGCUAUCCUUCUCACGCAGCUCCAAGUCUAUUUCCACCCUCUCUUUUCUUGUAGCUGUUAAACCGGAGCUUGUUCCUGCCGUGUAGACGGCGUUUUGGGCAUCAAAGUAAAGAGCGUGUUUAUCAGUCCUGCCAGUCGGAGUGAAUGUAAAGAGCCUGUUAGUCAGCGAUUCUCAACAGCACCUGUGUGCAACAACAGACUGUAUCAGGGCUCGGCUGGCUCUGACUGAAACCAGAACCUGCUCCAGAACAAAUGAAAACCAUCUCUACAGAAUCAGACUGAAUCUGAGGUGAUCAUGAGGAGUGUUGAGAUCAUUUCAGCUUCUUUAACUAUUAUUGUUUCCUGUUGGAGCGCAGUCAUAUCCUGUCAGAAACACUCGAAUGCACCACAGAAAAACAGACUUAUUUAACAUAUUUAUUUACUCUGGGAACUAUGAACACUAGUAGUUGUUGCAACACUUCCAAAGCAUUCAAUACUCGAAGGUAUUACUCUUGCCUAGAGUGAAAUAUUUUAGACUCUGCGAUGCUGAUUCCCAUCCUAGAACAGCUCUAGAGCCCAGUUUAGCAGUCAGUUUUCCCCAGACCUAACGCCAGGAUGUGACCGCUGCAUCUUAUUCAUGCUUUCUGUCGUUCCCAAUCUCUAACAUAAAAUGCACUGAUUGGAAUAGGAAUGGGCACAAUUAAUCGAUGAUUAAUUGAUCAUUUAGAUCGAUCUAACGUUACUAAAAAAAGGGACAGCGUGCGUCCAUCCUCUAGCUGCUUUCCAGCAAAGAUCAACCUCUUUGUCCAGUGUGCAUGUGUGUGUGUUGAUAUGACUCUCACCACGCGGAAGGAUCUGGACAUUUUAAAAGGGGAGUGAUACAGCAUCAGUGGACUUCCAUACAAGUCGGGAAAAAAACACGAGGAAAGCAAGGCUGCAAAUACAGCAAUGCCAUGUACAAGUACAACACAAUAACGACUCCAAUGAUGGACCGCUUGAACCAAAACAUCUGACUGAGGUUAAUGAAUCCUCCAAGCGCUCUCAGCUUCAACCUACCGUCAGCUCUUUGCUAGCAAGGAGGAACUGUAGGGUGAGCAGACGUCCCCGUUUUUGGUGACCUGUCCCCGGCAAAAUCUGUCCCUGGAAAUGUGCCCGAUUUUAGCGUUUCAUGAAUGGGAGAAAAAACAACAGUUAUUAUGAUAGCCGCGUAGGUAGGAAGUGCUGGUGAGUAUGUAGUGCACGGUCCUGAACAACAGUUGGCAUAUUUCAACGAGGAAAAACACGUUUCUUCUAGAAACCAACCAAAUCAAUGAUUGAUCAUUAAUUUAUAUGAUUAAUCGAUCAAGGGACUUCCUUUCCUCGUUUGGAAGAUGAUCCCAGCAUGUUUCGUGCCACAGGGGUGAAUUUGCAGUCACAUCCGAUCUUGUGUUGGUGGUCGUGAUUUGCAUUGCCGAGACAAAUUAAAGCACCAUCUGCCUUUGAUUCAAGUCCGAACCAUUGGAUGGGACGCAACCUGCUUUCUAGGUGUUAAAAAAACAGGCAUGAAAGAGACACCAAACUCUGGUAAACUGGACGUGUUGAGUGGGACUCUCAGUCAGACUAACUUUGCUUUCAUGUGAGCGUGACUUUCCCACGACUUGAGUAAACGCCUGGCAUAAAAAAGGGUCGAGUAGUCCGAUCUGCGUGUUUGAUGAUCCUCACAUUUUAACAGCUGAGUCCACCGGUGCCUUAUUGACAUCUAACAUAACCUGGCUGACCUGCUCCUGCCUCCAAUCGGACAGGACCUCCAGAGUGAGUGUGACCCACUCCAGAUUCACCAAAUCCCACACACUGAGAGUCUGCUAGUGCUGCAGCUUUAACCAUUUAUACAAAUCGAGGUUUCUUUCUCGACUCUACCACCUGUUUUUCCGUCACCUGUAGCAUCAGGUGAAAGUCCCGAUGUGACGGCGUCUAAACCGUCACCUUCCACACCUUCACAACAAUCUCUCAUCGUGUUUGAGGAUUUAUCCACAGCUCGCGGCUGCUCAGGGACACAGGGCGUUAUCUGUCACGACAGGUUCAUUCAGCAUCCUCAAAGAGCAGCUUCGCAGGCCAUCAGUGUCACGAGGCUCUCGGCCCUGACAAACAAUCCCCGCCUCCUUCUCUCGCUGUGUCUCGUAUUAUUCCCCGAUUCCUGUGUCUUUGUCUUCUUUGUCUUCCCGUGGUGUUUGCUGAAAGCUCUUUAGGAGUUUGCAAACCCAGCAGAUUCAGACGAAGAUGCAUGACACCGCAGGAAAACAUUUGGCCAUUGAUCAAUCGAGAGGAUCUAAUAAUUAUCAGCAAGAGCAUCACAUGGCCUCCCUCCAGGUACGACUUCCAGUCUGAUUCAUCAGAUGAGAUGACAAUGGAGCUAAUCGAUGCUGAUGGGAGAGCAUGUCGCUGUUCUCUAUCAAAGCUGUUAAAGCCUCGUCUGCAGAGAUUUUACCCUAAUUUAAUCUGACGCCGUAAAUGAAAUAUCUUGAGCCGUCAUUGAUCUCAGAGAAGCGAAGGGCGAGGAGAGAGGCUGCAAAAUGAAAGCUCUGACACGGGAGAGGAAGAACGAGAUCGAAGGAGACGGGAGAGGAGAAAGAGAGGCAGUUCAUUUUUAAACGUGGCGAGGAAGUAAGAAGAAAGACAAUUACAGAGGAGAAGAGAGAAAAGGAGAGAGCUGCAGGACAAGAGAUAAAACUUGAGAACAAUCAAAGCAGUCGGGAAGAGAGGACGGAGUGACGACGAAGAACUGAGUGUCGAGACCAAAGCUUGGAGACGAGGUCAAGUCCCUCGGGUUUGACUGAACUCACCGCCGUCUGCUUCAGAGACGACUGCAAACUGCAAUCAAUUCAAGACGUAGUAGCUCCUCAGCAUCACUUCCUACUGCUUACAGCCAGACGCUGGGAUGGUAUCAUUAUCCUGCAUGUCACAUCUCAACUCUUAAAGGGGGUUAGGCAGGAAUAUACUGGCUCAACAUACACAACAGUAUAACGCAAGCCUUCGCUGAAUUCUAUCGCUAAUCACGCCAUCAUUACCUCAAUUCUCUGUGCUGCAAUGCUUAUGACAUCAUGUGACUUCUAUCCCAGCUCUAGAGGCUUAGUGUUGGAUGUAGGGCUGGGCGAUAAAACGAUAAUGAUAUCAAAAAUUAAUUUCCCUCGAUAUCGAUAUAAAACAUGGUCAAUAUGCUUUUCGAUAGCGCUGAACCAACCAUUCAGUCCGCUUUUUCUAGUGCAACGCCUUACGACAAAACGUCGAAGAGACACAAAGACGUCACAGAUGCAGUAGCUUAUUGUAUUGCAAAAGACAUGCUGCCAAUAAACACUGUGAAAUGUCACUUUUAUAUCAUGAUAUUAACUGAUAUCGACUGAUAUGAAAAAAAUAUAUCAUGAUGAACUUUUCCCAUAUCACCCAGCCCUAGUUGGACCCUAAAAACAAACCUGCGUUACUCAAAAUUGAGUCUCCUCUUGAUUCAAACACUAUGAAUGUGCAGGAUAUUUGCACAAACGAGUCUUUUCAAGUUCCAAAUGCGAAAACAUUUCAGUCAGCGCCAGAAAAAAAUGCUGAGGUUCAACACUCAGACUUUAAAGCUCUGAUAGAAGUUUCGGAAAGUAACUGAAUGGAAGCUGAUUUAUCACAAACAGCGAGCAGAAAACAGGAAAAACAAUAUAAUAGAGAUAAUAAAGAAAAGCCAAAAAGCCAGAGCAACAGAGAGGAUGAUCAAAGCCAAAACCACCGAGAAAACAGGGCUGAGGCAGAGCGAAGACAGAAACCAGAGCUCAUAAUGUGACACAAAACCCAGAGAGACAAUAAAAUGAAGACUUCUGAGCUUCCAGCUAAAAAUCGGGGUUUUUACUCUGUCAGAAAAUUGAAUGGGGUUUCAGCCAGAUCAUAGAGCAAAUUAGAAACCUAUUCAGCCGAAAUAAGAGGACUUUUAUGGGAAAGGCAAACUGCUUCAGUAUGGGAAAGAAUGAAACGGAGUUUGGUUCAACAAGUUUAGGAGGAUUUUUGUCCUGAUCAUAUCAGCUGAACCAGCUAAACGGAUAUCAAACUCUGACAAGCAUCACUGUGAGGUCUUUAAAAGCUGACAGAUCAAACUGUGUGGGGUUCAAUCGAGAUCGUUCAAACCAACAUGUCAGCCGUUAUGAGUUUGAAUCGACUUUUAUCCAAAGAGUCACAGUUUUGAAAGACUUCUGUCGAACUGAUUCAUGGGGUUUAGAUGGUUUUACAAGAACGUUUAGACAGCACAUAAAAGUUAGAUCCUAUCAAACAGCUCUACGCUUACGUAUAUUAGAGGAGAGCAGGGAGAGGAGGAGAGAGGAGAGCAGGGAGAGGAGCAGGAGGAAGAGAGAGGAGAGCAGGGAAAGGAUCAGGAUUAGGAGAGAGGAGAGCAGGGAAAGGAUCAGGAGGAGGAGAGCAGGAGGACGUGAGAGGAGGGCAGGGAGAGGAGCAGGAGGAGGAGAGAGGAGAGCAGGGAGAGGAGCAGGAGGAGAAGAGAGGAGAGCAGGGAGAGGAGCAGAAGGAGGGGAGAGGAGCUAGGGCUACUAGGGCUGGGUGAUAAACAGAAAAUUUACCAAUACUGAAAUUUACAACAACCAGUGUCAUUUUGCCCAUAUAGGUAUAUUCAGUUUAAAAAAAAUAAAUGAAUAUAAGUUGGUUUUGGAUGUGUGUAGGUAGGCUAUGGUCUCCUGUCCCUUUAAGACACUGUCCUACAUCAGAGACGUGACUCCACCCCAUCCAGUCCGUAACAAAGAGGGAAAGACAGGUGAGGAGAUGGAGGACGGAGAGAAAGUUGGAGCGGCUGAAGUAGACAAAGUUAAUGUGGGAGGGGGUGAGCAGCUUGAGGAGUAGUUAUCAUC